CUAGGCAAGUCAGUUAAGAACAACACAUAUCACAAACCCACACAUAUAUUUCCACAAAUGUAAACACAUGUAAACAUGUACAUACAUUGACCACUACUAAUGUUGAUUGACCACUACUAAGUCUGAUAAUAUGAUGUUGGUAUUACAGUACUCAUAUAAGAGCAAGUCACUGAUUGGCUGAGACGACACACUCUGUACACAGGAAAACCACACUUCCUGUUGUUGUUGCCAAGGUGCUGUCAUUCAGCCUGAGGAAGAGAGUCCAAAUGUUAUUAUUGUUGUAUAGGUCACACUCUGCUGGUAUUGAUGGAUGGUAUAGGUCUCACACUCUGCUGGUAUUGAUGGAUGGUAUAGGUCUCACUCUGCUGGUAUUGAUGGAUGGUAUAGGUCUCACACUCUGCUGGUAUUGAUGGAUGGUAUAGGUCUCACUCUGCUGGUAUUGAUGGAUGGUAUAGGUCUCACACUCUGCUGGUAUUGAUGGUUGGUAUAGGUCUCACUCUGCUGGUAUUGAUGGAUGGUAUAGGUCUCACUCUGCUGGUAUUGAUGGAUGGUAUAGGUCUCACACUGCUGGUAUUGAUGGAUGGUAUAGGUCUCACUCUGCUGGUAUUGAUGGAUGGUAUAGGUCUCACACUCUGCUGGUAUUGAUGGAUGGUAUAGGUCUCACUCUGCUGGUAUUGAUGGCUGGUAUAGGUCUCACACUCUGCUGGUAUUGAUGGAUGGUAUAGGUCUCACUCUCUGCUGGUAUUGAUGGAUGGUAUAGGUCUCACUCUCUGCUGGUAUUGAUGGAUGGUAUAGGUCUCACUCUGAUGGUAAUGAUGGCUGGUAUAGGUCUCACACUGCUGGUAAUGAUGGCAGGUAUAGGUCUCACUCUGCUGGUAAUGAUGGCUGGUAUAGGUCUCACACUCUGCUGGUAUUGAUGGAUGGUAUAGGUCUCACUCUGCUGGUAUUGAUGGAUAGUGUAGGUCUCACUCUGCUGGUAAUGAUGGCUGGUAUAGGUCACACUCUGCUGGUAUUGAUGGAUGGUAUAGGUCUCACACUGCUGGUAAUGAUGGAUGGUAUAGGUCUCACUCUGCUGGUAUUGAUGGAUGGUACAGGUCUCACACUCUGAUGGUAUUGAUGGAUGGUAUAGGUCUCACACUCUGCUGGUAUUGAUGGCUGGUACAGGUCUCACACUCUGCUGGUAUUGAUGGAUGGUACAGGUCUCACUCUGCUGGUAUUGAUGGAUGGUAUAGGUCUCACACUCUGCUGGUAUUGAUGGCUGAGUAGGUACUGAAGUCAGAGUUCUGGACCCUCUUCGUCUUCUUUGGUCUCCUCUGUCCCUGACGGAUAUCCAACGAGGCGUAACACAGGUCUCCUUCCUC
This 1361-nucleotide long non-coding RNA is filed under the name Salmo salar (Atlantic salmon). Its description in RNAcentral is "lncRNA (ENSSSAG00000098160.1)". Lineage: Eukaryota; Metazoa; Chordata; Actinopteri; Salmoniformes; Salmonidae. The record is from RNAcentral.